This is a long non-coding RNA of Ornithodoros turicata, 863 nucleotides long. RefSeq lists it as uncharacterized. The record is from RefSeq and is a predicted model, not a curated record. The transcript is spliced from 2 exons. Lineage: Eukaryota; Metazoa; Arthropoda; Arachnida; Ixodida; Argasidae.
GGAGCCGCCACGGGAGGGCGCGAUGGAAAAAGGGUAAAAAGGAACGGCGGGGAGGUGGGGAGAGACUUGUGCGAGCGGCACGAUCCAGGGAGCGGCCUUACUCUGUCCUCUGUCAAGUUUUUCCAGGUUCAGGAUGUACCGACGCAGCAGGCCGCGCAGCAGACCACAAUCGGAUCCGGCGCCAGCCAGGCCUUGCCCGCGGCAGAAAUCAGCGGCUACGUGGACGGUUGUCCACCAAGGUUAUCCAGUGUCGUGGGCCUCGCACUCCAGGUGGUCGUCCCAGCCGCGCCCGCUCACGAGCGCCGACCCAGCCACCGCCCCUCUGCCUUUCCGGGGCCUGACGCUCGAGGAGAGGCACCCUGCGGACCCGCUUCAACCCCUCACGCCAGACGAGCAGCGUCUCCUCUGCCCCAUUUGUAAAGUCCCGGAGUUCCACCGUGCCACCCAUCGACGGGGAGACCUCCACCAGUCGCGCACCGAGCGAGCGCGCCCAGAACCCGUCGACGUCGCAACUGCCCUGGCUACUCUCCGCCGGCUCCGCCCAGAGCUGUUACGAGAAGCGGAGGGAGUAGCUGCACCCCCCAACCCCCAGGAGGACGACGUCCUCAUCGACUUGGACGUGAAUGAGGAUCUCUGAAGACCCUGUGCUCUGGACUUGUGGGUGGGGGGAUGUGGAGACUAUAGGGGGCGCCAGUAAGAGGCACCGAGGGCAAAGGAGCCGCCACGGGAGGGCGCGAUGGAAAAAGGGUAAAAAGGAACGGCGGGGAGGUGGGGAGAGACUUGUGCGAGCGGCACGAUCCAGGGAGCGGCCUUACUCUGUCCUCUGUCAAGGUACGAAAUAAACCGUCUGAUGUUUGACUGAC